RNAcentral lists this ribosomal RNA (460 nucleotides) under uncultured bacterium. Its description in RNAcentral is "partial 16S ribosomal RNA". It matches the Rfam family "Bacterial small subunit ribosomal RNA", at positions 338 to 795 of the family's 1533-position model. The record is from RNAcentral.
CCUACGGGUGGCAGCAGUGAGGAAUAUUGGUCAAUGGACGAGAGUCUGAACCAGCCAAGUAGCGUGAAGGAUGACUGCCCUAUGGGUUGUAAACUUCUUUUAUAUGGGAAUAAAAUGUUCCACGUGUGGGAUUUUGUAUGUACCAUAUGAAUAAGGAUCGGCUAACUCCGUGCCAGCAGCCGCGGUAAUACGGAGGAUCCGAGCGUUAUCCGGAUUUAUUGGGUUUAAAGGGAGCGUAGGUGGAUUGUUAAGUCAGUUGUGAAAGUUUGCGGCUCAACCGUAAAAUUGCAGUUGAAACUGGCAGUCUUGAGUACAGUAGAGGUGAGCGGAAUUCGUGGUGUAGCGGUGAAAUGCUUAGAGAUCACGAAGAACGCCGAUGGCGAAGGCAGUUCACUGGACUGCAACUGACACUGAGGCUCGAAAGUGUGGGUAUCAAACAGGAUUAGAUACCCUUGUAGUC